Molecule: non-coding RNA, 553 nt
Filed under: Aneura pinguis
Lineage: Eukaryota; Viridiplantae; Streptophyta; Jungermanniopsida; Metzgeriales; Aneuraceae
Source: RNAcentral
GUAUGAAGAUAAUACGUCGCCCAGGUACUUUACCCGGUUUGACUAGUAAAACACCCGGAUCGAAAGUGGGUUUUAGUGAUCGAUCAACAUCGAGUAAAAAGAUUUCUCAAUAUYGUAUCCGAUUGGAGGAGAAACAAAAAUUGCGUCUCCAUUACGGAUUGACGGAAAGGCAAUUGCUAAAAUAUGUUUUUACCGCUAGGGGGGCAAAAGGUUCAACGGGUCAAUUAUUUUUACAGCUGCUUGAAAUGCGUYUGGAUAAUACAAUUUUUYGUYUAGGUAUAGUUCCAACGAUUCCUGCAGCAAGACAAUUGGUUAAUCAUCGACAUGUGUCAAUAAAUGAACAUAUAAUUGAUAUACCAAGUUAUAAUUGCAAACCGGGGGAUGUUAUUACAAUAAACAAUCGUGAAAAAUGUCGAUUAGUAAAUAUGAAUUCAUUACAGAAGCCGGCGAUACCAAAUCAUUUGACUUUUGAUUCAAAAGAAUUUGUUGGAUCGGUGCAGCAAAUAAUUGACCGCGAUUGGAUUUAUUUAAAAAUUAAUGAAUUSUUKGUUGU